GUACACGCUGUGAUUAGCAUAUCAAUAAGCGGAGGAAAAGAAACUAACAAGGAUUCCCUCAGUAACGGCGAGUGAAGCGGGAAGAGCUCAAAUUUGAAAUCUUGAAAGGUCACCUUUCACGAAUUGUAGUUUAAAGAAGUGUUUUCUGUUACGAUCGUAAUAUAAGUUCUUUGGAAUAGGACAUCACAGAGGGUGAGAAUCCCGUCUAUGAUUGCGAUUUGUAGCUUUGUGAUACACUUUCAAAGAGUCGGGUUGUUUGGGAAUGCAGCCCAAAACGGGAGGUAAAUUUCUUCUAAGGCUAAAUAUUGGCGAGAGACCGAUAGCGAACAAGUACCGUGAGGGAAAGAUGAAAAGAACUUUGAAAGAGAGUUAAAUAGUACGUGAAAUUGUCAAAAGGGAAGCGUUUAACACCAGUGUUGUUUUCUGAAAAUCAACCUCUGUUAGCUUUAUGCAUGUUUGUUUAGACCUAAUCAGCUAUCUUGCAUGUUCCUAUUGUUUGCAGUGGUGCACUUUUCAGUUUACAGGUCAACAUCAGUUUUUUUUACCGUAAAAAAGUUAAAGAAAGGUAGCUCAUGGCUCCGGUCGUGAGUGUUAUAGUCUUUUUCCUAUGCGGUAGGAGAGACUGAGGUCUGCAGUGUAGGCUAUUUGGCUAGAUACUCAGGUGCUAUGUGAUACCAUUUCAUAAACAACUUGUUGAUUAUGUUUUGUCUAUUGCAUACUCGCUUGUACUAUCAUACCUACGCUUAGGAUGUUGACGCAUGAGAUAUACGC
This 771-nucleotide ribosomal RNA is filed under the name uncultured Neocallimastigales. RNAcentral describes it as "partial large subunit ribosomal RNA". It matches the Rfam family "Eukaryotic large subunit ribosomal RNA", at positions 22 to 645 of the family's 3401-position model. The record is from RNAcentral. Lineage: Eukaryota; Fungi; Neocallimastigomycota; Neocallimastigomycetes; Neocallimastigales.